Molecule: ribosomal RNA, 243 nt
Filed under: uncultured bacterium
Lineage: Bacteria
Description: partial 16S ribosomal RNA
Rfam family: Bacterial small subunit ribosomal RNA
Source: RNAcentral
GCAAGUCGAGCGCGAAAGCCUUUCGGGGUGAGUAGAGCGGCGGACGGGUGAGUAACGCGUAGGAAUCUACCUGGUAGUGGGGGACAACUUGGGGAAACUCAAGCUAAUACCGCAUACGCCCUAAGGGGGAAAGUGGGGGAUCUUCGGACCUCACGCUAUCGGAUGAGCCUGCGUAGGAUUAGCUAGUUGGUGGGGUAAAGGCUCACCAAGGCGACGAUCCCUAGCUGGUUUGAGAGGAUGAUC